Non-coding RNA from Camellia sinensis, 1281 nucleotides. The record is from RefSeq and is a predicted model, not a curated record. Lineage: Eukaryota; Viridiplantae; Streptophyta; Magnoliopsida; Ericales; Theaceae.
GGCUUUUGUCCUGUUUUCCACAGUUAUGGGUUUUUGCGUACUUCCCGAUGCUAGCCCCAGAGCUCGAGGUGGAGGCGCCCCUCAUGACCCCCUACUCGCUCGUUUUCGAGGGCCAGUACCGACUGCGGGCCGGGGAGACUCUCCCCUACCUACGGUAGUUUUUUGACAUAGUACGGCCGACAGAGAUCACCUGGCAGCCCUAGGUGCCUUUAGGCGGGGAUCUCCGAUUUCAGCUUACCGGAGGAUGGGCUGCCUCUCGGUAUAGGAUCCUGUUUGAGGGGCCGGUUGGUAGGGCCUGGUUCCUGGGGGAACGCUUCAUGCGCCAGACGAUGGGCUACCCUAAUCAGGACGUCCCCUCAGUACCUUCGGUCGACAUGCGGACUAUCGGGAGGCUCACUCCCCAGGAGGUUACUAGUGCCGUGCUGGGUACUGAUGUGUUGCUACAUUUGGAGGAGGGGGAGUACGUGACCUACCGUCACACAUACUUGAUGCCCCCAUUGACAGGCGUUCAUACCCCUACGAGGAGGUCCGCUGACAUACCAUCUUCGAGUCGAGCUCGGGCUGCAGGUGCUCCUUCCACUAGCAGAGCUGGUACAUCGUGAGGUGGGGCUGGGCUGGUCCCCCCGAUUUCUCCGACUUAUCAUCACCCUGGAUAGCCAGAUAUCCCUACUGAGUUGACGGGAUGGCGAUACGGGACUUCCUACCCGAUUCCGAUAGAGCCUCCUAUGCCUGAUCACCGAUACGUCAGUGACCCUGACUCACCACCGCCACCCAGAGAGUAUAUGGACGGGAUGCUCGGAUUGGUGGCCUCGCUCGAGGGCAUGGUUUUACAGAGAAAGGCACAAUUGUCCAUCCUUGGUUUUCAGAUGCCUCCGCUACAUACCGAAUCACAGGCCGGGCCAUCUGGGCCUUCCUAAGGAGCUGGGAGAGGGGAGUCGUCUCGCAGACGAGCCGGACGCAGAGUGCAUGUCAUAGAGGAGGGGUCCAGCAAGGAGGAGGAGCCUGCGCAUCCCCAGUCAGAGACAUCUGCUGACAGAGAGGGUGGUUCCGAUUCCGGUUCCGGCAGUGGAGAUGAGGCCGAGGAGGAUCCCAAGGAUGACAGCUCUGACUCAGACGACGAUGAUGGUGCUGAGGCUGUUCCACAGAAGAGGACAAAGAGAGCCGCUUACUCCCGUGCUUGAUAGCAUUGAUGCAGCUGUUUCCUACUUUAUUUGCCUUUUUUACUAGUAGUUGUAGCACAUUGUACAUUUAUUAGGUAGUUUUAUUUUCUAUAAAACUUGU